RNAcentral lists this long non-coding RNA (1173 nucleotides) under Citrus x clementina. RNAcentral describes it as "Citrus clementina (C. clementina) long non-coding RNA (CCLE_LNC002127)". Lineage: Eukaryota; Viridiplantae; Streptophyta; Magnoliopsida; Sapindales; Rutaceae. The record is from RNAcentral.
ACUCCUGUCGCAAGUCAAUUGAUUUAUCAAGGGUAUGUUUCAGAUGAGACUAGAUUUCAGUAAUUAAACUCGGGAUAUAAAACAGAACAUGCCAUGGCUUGAAUUCAUUCUGAACAAUCUAUGGCUUAUAUGGAAGUAAUAGAAAGUCAUUACAGAAUAGAACCAUUUAUUAUUUCAAACUUAUUACAUUCUUUUGCUAACAAAAGAGUUUCAGUAGAUCUUUUGAAGGACACUUCACUGAUUACGCCUGCUCAGCUUCUUCUUCUUCUUCUUCUCCAGCAGUCUCUUCUUCGGCUAAAUCUGCAUCCGCUGCAUCUUCCUCUGCUAAAUCUGCAUCUGCUAAAUCGGCAUCUGCUACAUCAUCUGCUAAAUCUGCAGGCAUCUCUUCAUCUAUUGCUUUCUUCGGUGGUGGAGGCCUUUUAGGCUUUUUAGGGGCAGGCUUCACCAGUGGAGAUUUACCUGGCUUCUUUUUCGGUGGGAUUUUCUUUCCUGCUUUGGGUGGCUUCCCUUUCCCUCCUUUAGGAGGCUUUUUACCUCCUUUUCCUCCUGGUUUUUUACCUCCCUUUCCUCCUGGUUUUUUGCCUCCUUUCCCUCCUGGUUUUUUCGGUCCUUGUUUCUUGCCUGCGCCCUUCUUAGGAGGUUUGUUUUUUACUCCUCCUUUUUUAACUGGUUUUUUCUGUUUCUGCACAAAUUUGUAAGAAGACACUUUUAUCAGCUUGUAAAAUCAAAAUGGAAUCAGUCGAGCUACUACAAGUAAACUCGCAACUGCUUUGUUUAGAGCUAACUGGCUCAUAUCCCCCUGCAUAAAUCCAAGCAUCUUAAAAUUGUAAAUUCAAUAAUAACGGUGUUCAUGAAGUUGAAUGAAAAUUUUAUCAAGUGUCUAGUGUCAUGCCCCGCAUGUAGCUGCCAAAAGCAUAUCCCCGUAUAUCUUAUAGAGAAUCUCUCAAUUCUUUUAGAGCAACCAGGAAGAGAUUCACUGUUCAGAUUUUUGCUCAAGGCCACACCCUCUUUUGGAGGGCGUGACACUAGUGAUACUAUAUAUGAAAAAUGUGGAAUAUAUUUAACAUCAAUGAGCAAAACAAGAGAACUAAGAUGUAGGCAUUGAUGAUACAUUACAUUUUGCAGGAAAAGUGCUCUGGCGUCAGCAGCUCCUCCUGGCUCCCCUUCUGCUGA